Molecule: long non-coding RNA, 776 nt
Organism: Magnolia sinica
Lineage: Eukaryota; Viridiplantae; Streptophyta; Magnoliopsida; Magnoliales; Magnoliaceae
Exons: 4
Source: RefSeq, a predicted model, not a curated record
AUUACAUCUGCAGAUUCUCGAAUCAAGGUUGUUGAUGGUGUUGAUCUGAUUCACAAGUUCAAAGGAAAUCUAGAUGGUGGAUUGUGAUUGAUGGAUGGCUUGGAAUAUUGGCACCUAUGCUGGCAUAGCUUAAUGGUGUGGACGAUCAACCGUCCUCUGUUUUGGGGAUCAGUAUAUACUGGGGUGGAUUUUUGUAAAAGGCUAUGCGGUGUCUCAGUUAUUAGAAGACUCUAAAAAUCAAAGGCUCUCUCCCUCCUCUCCUUUGCCUAGAAGCACCUCAUUGCAUGGUCUCCUCAGCACUACACAUCUACAAAGAAACUUGGAUCACCACUUGCAAUAUUAAAAAUAAAAAUAAAAAUCUUCGAUACAGUCUACCAAAUCAGGUACCAUGUUAGACCAUAUUUUUUGACCCACAUGAAUCUUAGCUGACACGAUGAAACUAGACAAUGGGAAUUAUCAGGUGCUAAACCCUGAAUGAUGGUGUGUGAGAUCUGGAGCAUUCAUUUGUUGGGACCUAAUGUGGAUGGCCUGUUUGGUGGACACCUAAAAUAGAGUUCAACUCGCUUUAUUUAACAAUAGUUAUGUAUUAGAGAUCUUGAUCUCUAGUGCAUAAUGAAUUAAUGUUACCGUUAAAUAAAAUGGAUGAACUCGUUUUUAGGCGUCUACCAAACAGGGCAUAAGAAUUUCUAAUUGAGAAUAACUGCAUUCAUGUUAGAUAAUUCUCACCAAGAGAAGUUUUUUUCUGUGCCAUUUUUCAAGUUUUAGGUUCAGUGACA